This is a long non-coding RNA of Peromyscus californicus insignis, 1360 nucleotides long. RefSeq lists it as uncharacterized. NCBI's taxonomy places the organism in Eukaryota, Metazoa, Chordata, Mammalia, Rodentia, Cricetidae. The transcript has 2 exons. The record is from RefSeq and is a predicted model, not a curated record.
GAGAGAGCGAGCGCCUGAGAGCCAGAGAGCCACCUCCCGCCCCGCCCCCGCCAAGCCCCGCGGAUCUAGGACCCUCGCGCCACAGGCGGAUUUGUGCAGCGUCGCGGUGGCUAGCAUCCGCUGAGCAGCCAGCCUGGGCGCGGAAGCUGGACGGGGACCACCGUGGAACAGAACAGACCUGGUCCAGUGCUGUCGGGGUUCAGCCCAGUGGGAUUUCCCAAGACUGAAAGCUGUGGGUGCCGGAACGAAAAAGACACUUCAAGUUCUGGAGGGGGCGUGCACCCGAGGCACUGGAGUAGGGCACAGGGAGGAUUCCUAGAGGUGUGUGGCUACUGCAGGCCAGGCUACGGGAGACUUGCUCAUGAACACUGCUGGGUGGAUGAACCAGCGGGGAAAAUGAGCUGGAGCUGGAGGGUUGAUUCAUUCUGCUACCCACCCCGCCCUCCACCCCCAAAAAGGCUAACCUAGGAGGGAGGAGCUUCAACAUGCAUUUUAGGAAAAUUCGUUGGGCACCCCAGUGGAGAAUGGACUGCAGGGGGCAGCCGGAAGUCUGGCGCCAGCCUCAAGGGAUUGCUGGAAGAUGACAGCAGUGGGCAUGAAGAUUAAAGAUCAAGCUGAGAGCAAUUCUGACUGUAGAAUUGAAGGCACAGACAGGGUUUGGAGCCGGCUGGACAAAGAAUUGAGAGAAGGCGGGGUCUAGGAUGGCUGUGGGUCUUGGCUGGGGGCCUGGCAGUUCUGGAGCUAGGGGGUAAGGGGAUGGGGUGGAUGAGCUCAGACUUAGACCUGGUGGGCCUGAGAUGGUGGCGGUGGGUGUGAUCACCAGCUACCUACCAUGCAGCAAGACUUAGGGCGUACUUGGGACCAGGUACCAAGUACCAGGCGUAUUUCUCAGAUUCUUUAACAUCGCCCUCCCAAUUAAACGUAAGGUAGGGGCUUCUCUUGUCCUCUAAGAUACGCAGGCCAGAGACUCAAAUAGAAAAUGGUUUGCUCAGGAGCAAGUGAUGACCUUAGUGCGAGUUGUACAGUCCAGAGAGCUGGAGAACGCCUGAUGGCUCAUGGGAAUGGAGGACUGCCAAGGGUGGGCAGCAGCGUGGUGAGCCAAGAGUUCCCUAGAACUGAGCGAGGACGUAUCAAUGGAGCUCAGAGCAUCUCAGAGCUGGAGGACCUCUGGGUAUCUUAGAAUUCUGCUGAAAGUCUGGUUAGACUGUAGAGUCAUGUGGAGGAAAUGUCUCUGGUGACCACCUGUGCAGGCAGACUCUAGGACAGUGGUUCUCAACCUCCCUAACGCUGAGACCCUUUAACAGUCCCUCAUGUUGGGGUGACCCCCAACCAUAAAAUUAUUUUUGUUGCUACUUCAUAA